GACGAACGCUGGCGGCGUGCUUAACACAUGCAAGUCGAACGGAAAGGCCCUGCUUGCAGGGUACUCGAGUGGCGAACGGGUGAGUAACACGUGGGUGAUCUGCCCUGCACUUCGGGAUAAGCCUGGGAAACUGGGUCUAAUACCGGAUAGGAGCCAUUUUUAGUGUGAUGGUUGGAAAGUUUUUUCGGUGUAGGAUGAGCUCGCGGCCUAUCAGCUUGUUGGUGGGGUAAUGGCCUACCAAGGCGGCGACGGGUAGCCGGCCUGAGAGGGUGGACGGCCACAUUGGGACUGAGAUACGGCCCAGACUCCUACGGGAGGCAGCAGUGGGGGAUAUUGCACAAUGGGCGCAAGCCUGAUGCAGCGACGCCGCGUGGGGGAUGACGGCCUUCGGGUUGUAAACUCCUUUCGCUAGGGACGAAGCUUUUUGUGACGGUACCUAGAUAAGAAGCACCGGCUAACUACGUG
Molecule: ribosomal RNA, 465 nt
Filed under: uncultured bacterium
Lineage: Bacteria
Description: partial 16S ribosomal RNA
Rfam family: Bacterial small subunit ribosomal RNA
Source: RNAcentral